RNAcentral lists this long non-coding RNA (2140 nucleotides) under Mus musculus (house mouse). Its description in RNAcentral is "predicted gene, 57105". Lineage: Eukaryota; Metazoa; Chordata; Mammalia; Rodentia; Muridae. The record is from RNAcentral.
AGUCAGGGAGAGAAGAGCGAGGAGAAAGGACUCCAGUGCAAGGGAGCCGGGAGUCAAAGAAAGCAGAGGAAGAAAGGAAAGAUCUGCGAGGCUGCUCAGCAGUGAAAUCCUACUGGCUUUGUGCAAAGGGGAAAGACUCCCUUCUUUCCAGGUGCCAGAGGGACCUGAGCAAGUCUACCGGCCCGGCGCUCCUCCCCACCAGGACCCCAAGGGUGUCUGAGUGCUGACCGCCGCUCCCCCAUCAAUUCCUCGUGGCCAAGAGAGGAAGCGCGCCAGGUCUGCACUGUCCCGACUGAUAAUUUACCUCUUUGUCUUUAAUAAAAAGCUGACUUUUUUGCUGUCAAAAGCUCUGCAACCGGGCAAAAUAAUGAUGAUGAUAAUAAUAAUAAACGUAUUUCAGAUUGAAAGCUCCUAUCAACUGCUAGCUUUCCGAGGCUGCUAUAAAUAUCUUCCUCGACGUGAAGGUACCUUGUGGGCUGGCGUGGUUCGGAAGAGCGGGGACGAGGACCGCCCUCCCCUCCCCCUUGCUCCCUCCCCAGGCGCGGAGACGCAGCGGCAAGGAAGGAGCGGAGGUCAGAGGAAACCUGGGGUUUCCAGGGUUUUCGCGGUCGGGGGAAUGAGCCCUGGGGAGGAGCCUUGCGCCAGCGCCAGCGCGCCCCAACACGCCUCCGACCUCGUAAACCCACUUGGCACAGGCCGGGGAAGCCGCUGGCGGAGCGGCUGCGGUGAACUCCAGAAAUGAACCUGCGGCACGGCGCGACGCCACGGGCUACCACCCUGGCCAACACUCACCUCGAGCGACCGACAUUGAGAGAGCUCCGGACGCGGCCGCAGGGGACCUUGCUCCGCCCUCUCGUCCCAGGAGAAGAGGACAAAAAAGGGGGGGUGGGGGAGAUGGACUUGGAGAUGGCCCCGCCCUUCAAACGCUCCAAUCCUUGGAAACCAAACCUCCUCUCCAAGCUACCACGUCUAGAAGGGACAAAGACUGCCAGGAGAUCCUGGCGCUGAUGGGGAGAUGAUGGCUCCUCGCGCUUCUAGGGAGGGUUGCUUUGGGGUGCUUUUGACUUUACAUCCCAAAUAGGUCACCAAAGAAGGAAUGGAUGAUCUGUAGAGGACAAACUGAACCUUCUGGUAAAGAAGCAAGCUGACUUUCCAAAGCUGAGAAGCAAACAAUUGUAAAACUCCGGCGUAGACUACAAUUUCUAUUCAUGAUGCUACUGUCUCUUUUGGCUUUACUACUUUUAGAAGUUCCAAGUUCCCUAACUCCCCACCUAAAAUAAAUGAAGGACAUAAAGCCUAAAGUGGGGGAAAUUGCACUGUUUGGGGUGGGGGUGGGGCGAAGGUGGGACAUUGAGGGGAAGCCCCGUGGCUGGAGGAUUUGGUGAAUGCCUUAAUAAACUUGGUACUUAAGUAACUGUAAUUAGGUUUUGCCAUUAGCAGGCCAUUUAGAUAAGCAGGAGAAAGUUCACACCUCCUGCUCUUUCACUCCCUACAAAUAUUCACAAAGAUAAUGCAAGCUUGGCUAGUGGGUUGUGUUCUCCAUCAAGAGAGCUGGCAUUUGACUUCUUUCUUUCUCUUUUUUAAUAUAAAAGGGGAAAGUUUAUGUUUAACACACAGGCAUCCAUGUGAAGGAUAUAUCUGAUGGACACACUGACUCUCUGAAAUGUACUGUUUGAUACUAUACCUUAUGCCAUUAUCCCCUGGAGUCAGAUGGGAUUGCAAGACUUUAUUAAUGGUCUAGAGAAUAAGAAUAUGUUGAAAGUCUGGACUUUUCUUCUCCUAUGUCACAAGUGACUGGCACACAGACUCUUCAUAAAGAGAAAUUAUGGCUCAUCAAAAGAGUGACUUUAUGAACAUUAAUAGAAUAAUAAAUCUUGCAAUUUUAGUUCAAGAAGCGGAACUCCUGUAACCGGGGUGACCUGAGCAACUAGGACCUUCAUACUUGCCUGACACUAGGAGGAUGGGGAUAGUCUAUAAAUCAUUUUGCUUAAUAAGGCCUUUUCAAAUAAAAAGAAGACACCCAAUUUCUUAAAGAAAAGUGUUUAUCGAGGGAAAGGGGCUUCUAUUAAUUCUAUAGGAGAGACUUAAACAAAAACUGUUGGGCCACAGUCUAUAUUAAAAAGAAUUUCAACAGAAAUAA